UUCCCCUUCCCCUUCAGCCCUGUCUCUCUCCCAAAGUAGAAACCCAAACCCAGAAAAAUGUCUUAACCUCCCUCGCCUCGUUAGUACCAUCAUCACCGGUGAACAACACCCAAGUCUCCGACAUGUACAGCGGUGCGAUCUCCUCCGUUGUGACCCAUUUCCCAGCAGCGCCGACGAGGAAACCCAAACCCAUUAAAAUUUCUCAAGCUUUCUCGCCUCGUCAGGACCAUCACCAAUGAACAACAUCCAACUCUCCGACGUGUAUAGCGGCGCGAUCUCCUCCGUCGUGACCCAUUUCCCAACGGCGCUGACGAGCAACAACACCAACGUCACCCAUUUCCCCAUUUUGUCACGGACGAUCUCCUCCGACCCAAGACGGUGCUUCCCUCUCUCACUCAGCUCAGCUCAGCCUGUAAUAUGUCUUCUGCCACUACUUAUGAGUCCACUUCUAGUGGCCAUAUGUGUGAUAUGGAUCGGUGUGUAGAAAGGACCUCCCUAUCUAUCCGUAAUUCGGUAGGAGGUUCUAUGGAUGUCAGUAGUGGUCGCCGGACUCCGAUCAAGCAUGUAAGUUCUUCAAAUGGUUGGACAAGAACACAUGCCCACGUGGCCGUGCAACAGCACCACUUGUCCAUGAAAGGUUUACCCGAUAUAAGGCCGAGGCCGUAGCUGCAAGAAAUGAAAGGGAUGAGGCUCAUGCAAGGGAAGCAGAAGCAUGGGAGUUCCUAAGGAUAGUAAAGCGCAAGGCUGAAAAAACUAAGCUCGCACUCCAGACUGCUGAAGACAAGGUCUACAGGUAUAGGCUAGCUUUAUUUUUCUCUUGGACUAUGGUUGGCAUUUAUUUUGUAUUCUCUACUGCUUUUGGGGGCCAUGGCCAUACACAACUGUGUCUGCCAUGACCCAUUGACAAUCACGUGUGUAAUGUAAAUAUCUUUCAUAUUUAAGCUUUUUUUUUUUGUUGGAUCAUCUUUUUCUUUUCUUUUUUCAAAGAAGAGUUUGAUCAGCUAUGUAGUUGUUGUGAUCCAAAAUUUUGCAAUAGUGUAUCCUGCUAUAUUUCUAGAUUA
RNA transcript from Quercus robur (English oak), 1061 nucleotides. RefSeq lists it as uncharacterized. The record is from RefSeq and is a predicted model, not a curated record. The transcript has 3 exons. NCBI's taxonomy places the organism in Eukaryota, Viridiplantae, Streptophyta, Magnoliopsida, Fagales, Fagaceae.